AUGAGGAAGCUGCCUCGAAGACUGGGAUAUACGGUCGAAAGACCGGGCAAUACCAGAUGUGGCUCCAAAAGGGCAUCCUUUUGGAAUCAAACGGCGCAAGUCGCUUCGAGAGGCUCUCAUGGCCUAUCAGGUAGUUGGUGGGGUAAUGGCCUACCAAGCCUACGACGGGUAGCGGGUCUGAGAGGACGAUCCGCUCGAGUGGGACUGAGACACGGCC
This 217-nucleotide ribosomal RNA is filed under the name uncultured bacterium. RNAcentral describes it as "partial 16S ribosomal RNA". It matches the Rfam family "Bacterial small subunit ribosomal RNA", at positions 117 to 331 of the family's 1533-position model. The record is from RNAcentral.